AAGAUGUGAAGCCAAUGUCUGCCCCUUCCUGGCCUCAUUUAAGAGCUAGCCUCCAAAAGGUGAAUGUCUCCUGGAUGAAGGCCUUUUAUUGAGGAGCAUUUUGUAGCUAGAGACCCUAUCCUGAGUUGGUAAGUGCAGCCUUGGUUGUAGGUUAACUCCUCAUUUCAAAUUUCAAGAUGAAGAGAAUAGCAGACAAGCUAUGGGAAGGGUGCUCUGCAACCUCGGAUUUGAAGCCUAGAAAAGGAAGUCUCUGGACCUGAUAAAGCUGUUACUUUUGAAAACAAGCUUAAGUCAACAGGGUUUUGUGGCUCUCUUAAAUUCUGUUCACUACUGGAAAAAAAAGGUGAUCAUGAAAACGUGACUCAGGAGCUUCUUCUUCAGUAACCACUUAAUAUGCACAGGCUCAUAAUGUUUGUGUUAAAAAAGCUGAUAAUGUCAAUGUUCCCUACAUUCUUACACCAGUAGUCUGAAAUGUAAUUUGAAAUCACCUCUUGAUGGAAAUUUUGAAAGAAAACAAACAAGAUAGAUAAGGUUUUUUGGAGUAUUACCAAAAUGAGCAGGAUCCUAGAAAUUUUCGAGAGAUGCAUAGUGAUGCCUGGGUAAAGCUCAUUAGGAUCCCAGAGACUUAUGAGAAGCACACAUUGAAGGGAACAGUUCAGCCUUCAUAGAAUCACCUUCAUUUUUAGGUAUUAUUACUUUGAAACAAAAAGUUCAAAAACAGUGACCUCCAGAAAUGUAUAAGAGACUGAGAGGAUUACUAUACGACUUUCCAGCUUGUGUUUAGCAGGAAAAUAACAGGAGCAAGACACCCCCAGGGAGUUUGGAUACUUUCCAUUCUCCCUGGAGGAUUUUGCAGUGGAAUUGCUGUAAAUAAUGAUCUGUGCUGUGGGCGAGACUGAUCAAAAAGGCUACUCAGGGAAUUCAUUGAAGAUUUUCUUCCCUUUCCUGCUGUUCAUGUUCCCUGCCUUCCUGGUCAAAGAUGUUAACCCUCACUAUGGAGUUUAACCUCCGGUCGGGAAUUUAUGAAGAAAGAUUGUAGCUACUUUUAUUUCCAGUUAGAGGACAUAUGGAACUGGGAAAAAGCCUAGAACCAAGUCUGUUUUCACUUUUUGUUUCCCAGUAAAAAAAAUACUACUGGCUUGAAAAUUUGAAAGAAAAUAUCUUGAUGAUAAAUAAUUGGAUUGUUUCUGCAGUGUAUUUUGUCAGAAACAAGCUCCUGUUAAGAAAUGUUUAUUUUUGGUAGUGUUAAAGAAGCAGGACAGCAAAUUCAAAUGCUAAAAAAAAAUCACAUUAUACCUUCAAAUUUUUGAAAUAUAAAAAAAAUUGUUUAAACAAAAUAACAGAAAUGUAAAAUGUGUAUCCAUUUGUCUAUGGAUAUUUUGCACUGACACUGAAAACAAAGAUUUUAAAUAAACACUACACAAAUUAU
Gallus gallus (chicken) is the source of this 1429-nucleotide long non-coding RNA. The record is from Ensembl. NCBI's taxonomy places the organism in Eukaryota, Metazoa, Chordata, Aves, Galliformes, Phasianidae.